GGAAGUAAAGUCGUAACAAGGUUUCCGUGGGUGAACCUGCGGAAGGAUCAUUAUUGUAUAACCGAGGUGCGAGGGCUGUCGCUGACCCGAAAGGUCGUGCACGCCCGAGUGCCCUCACACACAUCCAUCUCACCCCUAUGUGCACCACCGCGUGGGUCCCCCUUUGGCUUGUUCGGAGGGGGGCUUACGUUUUCACACAAACUUUGUAUGCAGUGUAGAAUGUAUUUUUUGUUUUUGCGAUCACGCAAUCAAUACAACUUUCAACAACGGAUCUCUUGGCUCUC
Molecule: unclassified non-coding RNA, 284 nt
Filed under: plant metagenome
Description: partial contains small subunit ribosomal RNA, internal transcribed spacer 1, and 5.8S ribosomal RNA
Rfam family: Eukaryotic small subunit ribosomal RNA (bases 1-53)
Source: RNAcentral